RNAcentral lists this ribosomal RNA (253 nucleotides) under uncultured bacterium. RNAcentral describes it as "partial 16S ribosomal RNA". It matches the Rfam family "Bacterial small subunit ribosomal RNA", at positions 524 to 776 of the family's 1533-position model. The record is from RNAcentral.
UACGAAGGGUGCUAGAGAUGUUCGGAAUUACUGGGCGUAAAGCGCACGUAGGCGGCUCUGUAAGUUGGGGGUGAAAUCCCGAGGCACAACCUCGGAAUUGCCUUCAAGACUGCAGGGCUUGAGUUCGGGAGAGGUGAGUGGAAUUCCCAGUGUAGAUGUGAAAUUCGUAGAGAUUGGGAAGAACACCAGUGGCGAAGGCGGCUCACUGGCCCGUAACUGAAGCUGAGGUCCCAAAGCGUGCGGAGCUAACAGG